UACAGAGGUCUCAAGCGUUGUUCGGAUUCAUUGGGCGUAAAGGGCGCGUAGGCGGCGGGGUAAGUCGGGUGUGAAAUCUCAGAGCUCAACUCUGAAAUGGCACUUGAUACUGCUCUGCUAGAGGACUGGAGAGGAGAUUGGAAUUCACGGUGUAGCGGUGAAAUGCGUAGAUAUCUGGAGGAACACCGGUGGCGAAGGCGGCAUCCUGGACCAACACUGACGCUGAGGAGCGAAAGCCAGGGGAGCAAACGGG
Molecule: ribosomal RNA, 253 nt
Filed under: uncultured bacterium
Lineage: Bacteria
Description: partial 16S ribosomal RNA
Rfam family: Bacterial small subunit ribosomal RNA
Source: RNAcentral